RNAcentral lists this long non-coding RNA (547 nucleotides) under Homo sapiens (human). RNAcentral describes it as "HSALNT0197362". The record is from RNAcentral. Lineage: Eukaryota; Metazoa; Chordata; Mammalia; Primates; Hominidae.
CACCUACACGCACAUACAUGAACACACGUGCACACACAUGCAUACAUUUAUCCAUACCUACACGCACAUACAUGAACACACGCACACAUAAGCAUACAUUUAUCCAUACCUGCAUGCACAUACAUGAACACAUGCACACACACGCAUACAUUUACCCACACCUACACGCACAUACAUGAACACAUGUACAUACACAUGCACGCGUGCAUGCAUGUGCACACAUAUAUAUGGACUUACACAGGCAUGCACAUAUGCAUGGUGCAUAUACAUACACUACAUACACACAUGCACACACGCAUAUAGCUGCAUACAUAUACACACAUGCACACAAUACACCCACGUAUACACACAUGCACGCGUGUGCAUAUGUACACCUGCAUACAUAUACACACAUGCACACAUGCACUAUAUACGUGCAUACAUAAAAACACAUGCACAUAUAUACACACAUAUACCCCUGAAUACAUGUACACACAUGUGUACAUGCAUAAUACACCUGCAAACAUAUACACACAUACAAAUGUGUAGCACAUACAUUGCUCCAAAU